This 135-nucleotide microRNA precursor is filed under the name Hordeum vulgare. Its description in RNAcentral is "microRNA MIR1122". It matches the Rfam family "MIR1120/MIR1122 microRNA precursor family". Lineage: Eukaryota; Viridiplantae; Streptophyta; Magnoliopsida; Poales; Poaceae. The record is from RNAcentral.
AAAGUACUCCCUCUGUCCCAAAAUUCUUGUGUGAUAUUUGUUUAGAUACAAAUGUAUCUAGUCAAAUUUAGUAUUUAGAUACAUACAUUUCUAAACAAAGCUAAGACAAGAAUUUUGGGACGGAGGGAGUAUCAU